AGAGGCCAAACCGGCGGGAAGAAAUUCCUUCCGGGGUUGUGGGACUCCGACAUGGGACUCUGAUGGAUAGCGGAAUGGUCUGGAAAGGCCGGCCGAAGAGGGUGAAAGCCCCGUAUGCGAAAUCUUGAAGAGCUCUAGGAGUAUCCCGAGUACCACGGGACACGUGGAACCCUGUGGGAAUCUGGGUGGACCAUCAUCCAAGCCUAAGUACUACCUACCGACCGAUAGUGAA
Molecule: ribosomal RNA, 232 nt
Filed under: uncultured bacterium
Lineage: Bacteria
Description: partial 23S ribosomal RNA
Rfam family: Bacterial large subunit ribosomal RNA
Source: RNAcentral